RNAcentral lists this ribosomal RNA (432 nucleotides) under uncultured bacterium. Its description in RNAcentral is "partial 16S ribosomal RNA". It matches the Rfam family "Bacterial small subunit ribosomal RNA", at positions 29 to 506 of the family's 1533-position model. The record is from RNAcentral.
AACGAACGCUGGCGGCAUGCCUAACACAUGCAAGUCGAACGAGACCUUCGGGUCUAGUGGCGCACGGGUGCGUAACGCGUGGGAACCUGCCCUUAGGUUCGGAAUAACUCCCCGAAAGGGGUGCUAAUACCGGAUAAUGUCUUCGGACCAAAGAUUUAUCGCCUUUGGAUGGGCCCGCGUUGGAUUAGCUAGUUGGUAGGGUAAAAGCCUACCAAGGCGACGAUCCAUAGCUGGUCUGAGAGGAUGAUCAGCCACACUGGGACUGAGACACGGCCCAGACUCCUACGGGAGGCAGCAGUGGGGAAUAUUGGACAGGGGGCGAAAGCCUGAUCCAGCAAUGCCGCGUGAGUGAUGAAGGCCUUAGGGUUGUAAAGCUCUUUUACCCGGGAUGAUAAUGACAGUACCGGGAGAAUAAGCUCCGGCGAACUCCGU